This 11700-nucleotide long non-coding RNA is filed under the name Lupinus angustifolius (narrow-leaved blue lupine). RNAcentral's name for it is "long non-coding RNA (LANG_LNC002839)". Lineage: Eukaryota; Viridiplantae; Streptophyta; Magnoliopsida; Fabales; Fabaceae. The record is from RNAcentral.
CCCUUCAUCUCACCAUAACCCUCAGCCAGAUUCUCACCAUAAGGCCCAUUAGAGUGCUCCAUUUGGCAGUCUUUAAUCUUCCCAUUUGCAUAGUUUUGAGCAUAGGCUUCAAGGGUUUUGUUCCAUGAGAGUGGACCAACACCAACCUCUUUCCUAGCUUGGGUGUGUACCUCAAGGAAGUCUGUAGGGGUAUUUUGAGCUUGGCAAGUUGAGAACAUGAUGAAGAAAAUGGUUGUGAUCACAAUGUAUGGGGACUUCAUUUUUCCUCUUGUUUGAGUUUUUUGUCUAAGAGAGAUUGGUUAUGAAUAUGAUAUAUGGUGCAUGGAUUUAUAGGAAGAGAGAGGAGCGCGUCAACCAUAAAAGUAGAAGCAAUUGAAUAAAAUUAAUAUAUUUACCAUAAUUGUGAGAAAAUUAUAUUGUGGGAAUAUGCGGUUAACAUGACUACAAUUGUUGUUGUCGUGCAUGAUGAGAUGUCAAAAAUUACAAUAUUAUGGCCAAAGAAAAGUAUACUUAGGAAGCGUGAAAAGAAUAUUUGAGACUCCAUAAAAAAUAAAUUAGUAUCUAUUUUUCUCAUCGUAAUUGUAUCAUACUUAGGAAGCGUUGGAAAUAUAUUUUCGACUUCAUAAAUAUUUUUUUCAAGUUUAUCUAGUAUAAUUAAUAUUUCUUAAUUUUAAUCGGUUAAAAAUGACUUUAAAUUACUAACAAAUUAUGAGAUAACCACCCAUCAUGAUGUAAUUUGUGUUUUCCUAUUUUGCCCUCAAUAUCUUUUUAUUUCUACCAAAAAACCAUACAAUAUUAUUUUCUUAUUUUAUCCUUAUUAUCUUCUUAUUUUAAAAGUGUAUUUAAAAAAUUGAAUAUUAGACCAAUUGAAUAAAUUCAACCGUAAAUUUAGUGCAAAAAAUUAUAUUUGAAUUUAUAAAAUACAAACUAUACAUUACAAACGAUAGAAAAGUGGGUUAACAGACACGACAGUGCAUGUCAACACGCUAGUUUAUAUAAUGUCCUCAAAAAAAUAUCAAAAUUCUACUCUACCAUCACCUAAUUUAUUAACUAUUACUAAAAUACCAUUGUCUUAUUUUUCACCACUUUAUGAUAAUAUUAUAGACAUCGGAAGUUCUGUUAUACUGAAGAAGAAUCAGAAGUAUAUUUUGCGAUUACAUAAUUAUUUUAUUGUAAUUUUUUUAACAUGAUUGAUAUUUUCAUAAUUAAAUUGUUGAAAAUGAUUAUUAAUUCCAAAUAAAAGUUCGAGAAGGAAUUUAAAAUUAUUAUUUUUUGCUUAAGAUAUCUCAAUUUUAUUUUCAAAUACUACUAUUUAUAUGAUAUCCUAAAAAAUAGUAUCUUUACUCUUCUUUUACCUACUUUAUUUACUAUUACGAAUAAUAUAUUAUUAUUUUUUACGACUUCUAAUUAAAAUUAAAGUGAUGGAGAUUCAAAUUAUAUUGGAUUUAUUUUCUUUUUUCAUUUGGUCAUUUAAAUUUCAGGAAUCAAAGUAGUAAUUAUUUUAAAUAAAAAAGUAAAAUUAUUAUCAAUUUUUCUGAAUGAAAAUGAUAUUAUUCUUAUCAGGCGUUAAAAGUAUAUUUUUAGAUUUCAAAAUAUAUUUUCCAAGUUAAUUUAGCAUGUCUAAAAUUUCCAAAAUUACAUCACCUCCUUAUUUACUUUCAAGUGAACUAUAUUAUCACCUAAUUCAUUUAGUUUUACUAACUACUAAUAACAUAUUAUCAUUUUUAACCACUUAGAAAUAAAAUUAAAGAGUUUGAGGAUGAUACCUAAUUUAUUCAAUUCAUAUUUUGUUUAUUUUCCUUAUUUGUUUAAAAAAUUUAUUUUUCACAAAUCAAAAUAGUAGUAAUUUUAUAUAAAGCAUGUGAUGGAAAAGUCAAAGAUAUAUUUUGAGAGUUCCUAACUACUUUUAAAGCUUAUUUAACAUGUUUGACAUUUUAAAUGCUCAUUUGAUUUUGUUUAUGUUCCAAACAAUAGAUUAAGAAAUAAUUAUAAAAUCGCCCAUUUUUGUAUAGAAAAUCUCAAAUCAAUUAUAAAAUACUAUAUCGUUAAGAAACUAUCAACUAUACUUCAAUAGUUUAAUUUAUUUAUUUUUACUGACAUCAUAUUAUCAUUUUUCACCAAUACGAUAUCAAAAUUUUUGGACUUAGGACGUCAUUGCCUUUUCUUUUGAAAUUUAAUUUUCAAAACUCAAAAUAGAAUUAUUUUUAAAGAAAAACACUGUUAACAAUUUGUGUCACUGAAGAUGAUAUUAUGUUUUGUGAGUGUCAAAACUAUUUUUGAGAAGCCGGAAAUAUUUUUGAAACCUUAUUUAUCAUUUUUGAUACUUUUGAUGAAAUUGAUAUUAAUUUCCAAACAAUAAUUGAUAUUAUUGAAAUAUCGUUCAUUUUGUUGAAAAUAUCCAUUUGAUUUUCAAAUAUACUCUCUUUAACAAAUCAUUUAUUUACCAUGUUUGACAUUUCUAAAUUUCCAUUUGAUAAAAAAUGACUUUAAGUUUCAAACAAUAUUUUGAGAAAACUGAAUUUGACUUUCAAAUGCUACUCUAAAAAAAUUACAAACUCUAUUAUACUAUGACCUAUUUUUUUUAGAAUUAUAAUAUCAUUAUUAUUAUUAUUCACGGAUGAGAAAUGAAAUUAUAGAGAUAAAGACUUGCAUUGUUGCAUUACUAUUGUUGUGAAUCCGAUUGCAAUGAUUUACUUAUUUUACUUAAAGAUAAAGUUUAAGAGAUGAUUAAGAAAAAAAAUAGUUUAUGAUAAUUAUUUAUAAAAUACAUAAAAUUUAAGGAGAUUUUAUGCAUUUUUUCUUAUAUUUAUAAAAGUGCCAAAUUUAUUAUCGUUUUAACUAUUUACACUUUUACUUAUUUAAUGGACAAAAGAAAUAUAAGAGACAUUUUAUAAAAUAAAAAAUAAUAUUUUUUUAUUUAAUUUAAAAGAGAAUAUAUAUAUAUAUAUAUAUAUAUAUAUAUCUUCUAUACUAUAUAUAAAAGGAAAAUAUGGUAUAACUACCAUCAUGGUAUAAUUUUCCAUUUCCUAUUUUGUUCUUAACCCUUUUAAUUUUUACAAAAAAAGAUAUAAUCAUAUAUAACCACCACCAAUAUAUUAACCACCUCCUCACCUUAAUUUGACAAUUAAAAUAAAGACAAAGAAAUAUAAUAUAAAGUGCACGAAAUAAAAAUUGCAAUAUUUAUAUCUUCUAUAUCUAUAAUUCUAUAUAUAUAUUUCUAUACUAUAUAAAGGAAAAACAUGGUGUAAAUACCACCAUGAUAUAAUUUUCCAUUUUCUAUUUUGCCCUUAACCCUUUUAAUUUUUACAAAAAAUAUAUAAUCAUAUAUAAUCACUGCCAAUAUAUUAACCACUUCUUCAUCUUAAUUUUAUAAUUAAAAUAAAGACAAAGAAAUAUAAUAUAAAUUGCACCAAAUAAAAAUUUCAAUACAAACUCAUUACUAGGUGCUAUUCAUUACUUAACUUUUUUUUUCAUACACAUUUAUUGAUGAAACCUUUAAUACAAUAUAACAUAUAUGACUUAUUCAUUAAAUGAAUUAAAAUGCAACAUAUAAUAAUUUUUUUUUGGAGUAAAUGUAAUAUAUAUUGGAAUGUAAUCAAUAGUUAGUUAGAUUGGUUAAGAAGCUUCUAUUUUUAGUUUGGUAGUUAUUGUUAGUUAGCCAUAUAUAGAAACUUCUAUAAGUAUGAUUGUUGCCUUGUUAAUGAAGUAACCAUUCAUUGAGAAACUCUCAACUCCUCACUUUACUCUUCUUCUCCUUCUAUUUUCGUUAACAUUUGGUAUCUAGAGCUACAAAAAGAUCAAGCCAUCUUCUGCUGCAAAUAUGGCUCAAGCAACAGGAAAUUUUGUCACUAAUCUCCCCGUGCUUGAUGGAAAGAACUGGUCAAGAUGGAGUAUUCAGAUGAAAGCAAUCCUUGGCUAUCAAGAAGUUGCAGAUCUUGUAGAGGAAGGAUUGCCAGUAUUAGAAGAAGGAGCAACAGAAGCACAAAGAAAUGCUCACAAACAGAACAAAAGGAGAGAUUGCAAAGCAAUCUGUCUCCUUCACCAAGCAGUGGACAAUGCCCACUUUGAGAAGAUUGCAGGGUCUGCAACAGCAAAGGAGGCUUGAGAUGUGUUGGAAAAGCAUUAUGCAGGGGNNNNNNNNNNNNNNNNNNNNNNNNNNNNNNNNNNNNNNNNNNNNNNNNNNNNNNNNNNNNNNNNNNNNNNNNNNNNNNNNNNNNNNNNNNNNNNNNNNNNCUGAAGCAAACCUUGCUAAGGAAGAAUAUGAAGACCCUGAUGAUGAUGAGGCAGUUCAGCUAAUGAUGACAACAAUCAGCAAACUCAGAAAUGAUGUAUGGUACCUUGAUUCAGGGUGUUCCAAUCAUAUGACUGGACACAAGGAUUGGCUAGUAAACUUUGAUCCAACCAGAAGAAAUAAGGUGAAGUUUGCUGACAACAGGGUUGUAGCAGGUGAAGGAACAGGGGACAUUCCACUAAGGAUGCAAGNNNNNNNNNNNNNNNNNNNNNNNNNNNNNNNNNNNNNNNNNNNNNNNNNNNNNNNNNNNNNNNNNNNNNNNNNNNNNNNNNNNNNNNNNNNNNNNNNNNNAGCUUCUAUUUUUAGUUUGGUAGUUAUUGUUAGUUAGCCAUAUAUAGAAACUUCUAUAAGUAUGAUUGUUGCCUUGUUAAUGAAGUAACCAUUCAUUGAGAAACUCUCAACUCCUCACUUUACUCUUCUUCUCCUUCUAUUCUCGUUAACAAUAUACGUGAACUUACAUAAAUUAUAAUCAUUUGCCACUUAUAUUUUUGUCAUUAGAUACUAUUUUUUUAAUCAGUAAAUUGCGUAUUUCUAUCCUUAAAGUUUUGUCUUGCACUAUGUAGUAAAAAGUUGAAACUUUUAUUUUCUACUAAUUUAUUAUGGGAAGCAUGCAGGUAAAUAAGAAGUACUCAAUUCUCAAACAUGAGCAAAAAUCUCUUGUUCCAAAGUCGCUAUGCCACUAUCUAUGUCAUAAAUCAUGUUCUUGUCGCUUCCUCCAUUAUUGUUUUUACUCCUUCAAUGGCUUAACCAAACAGUUUAAAUCAUAAGAUGGUGAAGAGAGGGGAACAGCAAGCUUAUGUUAACAAAGUUAAUAGUGUAAAUGAAAAAAAAAAAGAACAAAAAAUAUGGUCAGAGUGUAGUAGUUAGAUUUAAUAGAAAAGAUAAAAUUUAUAUUUUCACCAUGAUUUAUGGAGGUUUGUGUUUAAAAAUGGAUUAGUCUCUAAUAGUCAACUUAACUGGUUAAACUGUGAGACAUAUUAUGAAAGUUUCUAUCAUCUCUCUUUCAUUUCUAAGGUCUUUUAUUAUACAUGCAUGGAAAAAAUGGGGUUAACCUUUAUGUUAAGGUAUAAUUUCCAAAGUAGUGUCAUAUAAUUUAUUAAUGAAAAGUUGUAGUUUAAUUAUUAUUUUUUUAUUUUCUAAGCUAUUUCUCAUUUAUUGAAAAAACUAUAAAUAUUAAAAAAUAUUACAAGAUUCUAAGAUAUAUCUAUUUAAUAUUUAAUAACUCAAUAAUAAUAACUUGUAUGUUGGUAGGCACUCUGAAGUAUGUCAAUCCACAUUUUUUUCUUUUGUGCUCGAGUUUACAUUCUUUAAAUAUUAUAAACAUCCAAUAUGAUAUUUGUAAUUGAUUAUACUCAAAUUGCAUAAUUAGUAUGUUUACCAGAUUUAAAAAAUGUUACACUCAAAUAUAUUAAUUACUCGUAAUUAGUUUUAUAACUAAAAAUAUCAUCUUUGGAACGAAUUUGUAAGAUUAACAUAAAAUCAAAGUUUGUGUCUUACCAUAAUUAUUAUUAUUUUAGUAUUAUGUUUACAGAUUUUUACAUAUUAUAGACCAACUGAUGAUUUUGUCUCUUUGGUAUAAUCAUGUUGUGAAAAGGAAUCAUAAUUUUAGGGUAACUUGAAUUCAUAGUGUCUCAUUAUAGUGUAAAAUACAAGGAAAUAAUAUGUAAACCUCAUAUUAGAAUGUAAGCAUAUAUUCCCAAUAGGUUGGUCCUAUGACAUGAUUAACAAUACACACAUGUAGAAUUUAUCUUCCUCUAAAAGAGAUAUUACGUAGAUUUAACCGAUAACUUUUAUUUGAUUCCUUCAAUAGUUCAGUUCUUUAUGACUCUUGUCCCAAGUAUAGUGUGAGGAAUCUCUCUAUUCAAAUAAUUCCUAGCUUAUGGAUCCAUAUGACUUAGUGCAAAGAAUUGUGUGAAUAUGAUCUUUGAUCUAUAAUCAUCAUUUAAAAUGUCUUUAAUACUCUAAUGGUUAUAAAAUCUUUUUUAUUGGAGAUUAGUUAGGUGGAUCUAUAAUCUCACAAUUGAGGUAUACAAUCGGUAAAUUAUAAAAAAUAUACUAUGAAAAUAAUGAAAAUCAUAGUAAACAAUUUAUGACAUAAAUGCAUCAUAUUAUAUAUCAUGUUUAUUAAAUGUUGAAGAAAGGGAAAUCAAUAAGGUCGUUGACCAAUAACAUUUCCUGGUGGAGAAUAGCUACAAAUAACAAAGACCCAAUUAUUAUCACACUUAGCUCUAGCACACCCAAGAUGAACAGAAUCACGCCACACAAUCUGAGUAUAAUGACCACACUCAUCAUUUACACAUGAAUUAGAAUCGUGAUUAUAGUUAGGCUUCUCAGUGAGCCAGAACUUCACAGCAUCUGAACCCUUCAUCUCACCAUAACCCUCAGCCAGAUUCUCACCAUAAGGCCCAUUAGAGUGCUCCAUUUGGCAGUCUUUAAUCUUCCCAUUUGCAUAGUUUUGAGCAUAGGCUUCAAGGGUUUUAUUCCAUGAGAGUGGACCAACACCAACCUCUUUCCUAGCUUGGUUGUGUACCUCAAGGAAGUCUUUAGGGGUGUUUUGAGCUUGGCAAGUUGAGAUCAUGAUGAAGAAAAUGGUUGUGAUCACAAGGUAUAGGGACCUCAUUUUUGGUUUUGUUUGAGUUUUUUGUUUUGGAGAGAUUGGUUGUGAGUAUGAUAUAUGGGGCAUGGUAUUUAUAGGAAGAGAGUGAAGCCCAUCAAGCAUAAAAGUACAAGAGAUUGAAUAGAAUUAUUAUUUUCAUUACCAUUGUUUUAAAUUGUGGCAGUUACAUUAUAUAUAUUAUAACUAUGGAAAAUUAAAUUGUAAGAAAAAGUAAGAAGAUUAAAUUAUUAUUUCUUACUGGCUGUGACAAAGACUUCGAAAAUUAUAAUAUUGCAACCAUAUUUUUUUCUUUGCACAUUUUUUAUAUCCAAUGUAUUGUUUUUUAUAUAACUAAACCUUUCAAUAUCAGAAUACCAGGGAUGUUGAUCUACAAACCUUUCAAUGUAUUGCCAUUUGUCCUGGUAAUUUUUAAAUUAAUUUAUUUCCUAAGCAUUGACUGAAGAAUUGUAUUUUAAAAUAAGGGUUUUUUCAAAAUAACAAUGAUGAAUAAGAUGUAAAAAAAUGAGGUGAUAAAAAAUUGAUGAGUCAAAAUUUUAAUUAGAAUUAAAUUUCGUGUUGGCAAUAUUUUAUUGGCUAUCUCCACACAAGUUUUUAUCUCUCUUAAAAGAAAAGUGGUGACAAUAUUACAAAAUAUUUGUAUUUGCUCUUCUCAUUACCUUGACUGGAUGAAGAAACAAUAAUAAAAAGAAAACAAAUAAAAAUAAAAGUAAAAUCAAUGAAGCAAACAUGAUAGAAAGUGAAGAUUUGACACAUCAUGUCGGGCUUACAUGAGAAAGCAUUAUUGAAUAUGUUUGUUUGAGAAAACGUUGUUAAAUAUAGUAUAAUCAGCAAUGUUUUAUCAAAUAAGUGUUUGUUGAUAUAUAUCUUUUUACAACACUUUUAAAGUAUUAUUACCCUAUAUUUUACUAUAUUCUUAUAGACAGCACCCUAAUGCCAAUGUUAAAUAUCAAUUUUAAGUAUUGUUUUACAAUUUUCGUGUAGUGAAAAUUUAUAAGGAGAAGAGAUAAUUAGAUUCAUAGUACAAACAACGUGCAUACGAUUCUAUAUAGCCAUAAAUGGAAGUAUAGUUAAAGAAAUGUAUUUUAUUGCUACUUUUGACGAGAUUCUAUAUUUAUAUUCGAAGAUAAUUAAUUAAUUAAUAUAUCCCUAUAUAAUAAAAAGGAUUUAAGCAUGGCAUAAAUGGAAGUAUAGUUAAAGAAUUGUACGUUAUUGCUACUUUUGACUAGAUUCUAUAUUUGUUCCAGGAUAAUUAAUAAAUAUAUCCCUAUAAUACAAAGGGUUUAAGCAUUUAGAAGAAAAAUGACAUAUCAUUCUACAGCAUCAACUUAAAAAUCCUCUUAGACAAUAAAAAAUAUAUAUAUAAAUGAUACUUUAAAGUGAUAUUUGUGAUACAAAUAUAUCAUUAUUUUAAAGAGAAUGAAUAGAAAUCCAAGCAACCAUUCAUUAAUUUCUUAAAAUGAUUAUUCAUUACUUAUUUAGAAUAAUGAGAUUUUUAAAUGAUUACUCCUUCUAAUACUUAUAAAGAAUUUGAUAGGGAACUUAAUACAUUUGAAACUUUAUAGAAUUAUUUGGGGUGUGAUUGGUUUUAAGAAAUGUUUUCUAUUUCUAUUUUAUAUUUUAUUUUUAAAAAAAAAACAAAAAACAUGUUUGUUAUUAUUAUUUUCAAAACCAUUUACUCUAAAUAUCAAAAACCAGAACAAUACUUUUACAAUUAGUUAAAUUCUAAAUUUCAAUCACUAAAGUAGUUAAGCCAAUAGUUUCAUAGGAUGUCUACAUAUUUGAUACUUAUAUUUUCUUUUCCAAUAGAUUUUAUGUAAAUAAUAUAUUAAUAAAAUUUGAUUGUUGGAGUUGGUCAUUAGCUACCACAACAAUAUCAUAAGGAAGAUGAAGAAAUAUUAUUAUGUUGAGAGAUAAAGAAAUAUAUUUUAUUAUGAAGAUGUGUGAUGGUGUGAACGAGGGAGGCAGUUAGCGACUCAUUUUGACAUUUUGUUGAUUAGUGGAAAGAGUAAUUGAAAAACAUACACCCCUCAUUCCACAUCCUUUGAUGUUUAAGAUUAUGCAUAUAGUUUAAAAAAAAUAUUAAAUCAUAUUAAAAUUAGGAAGUAUGUAAUUAUUUAAUUUGUUCAAAAUUACAAUUAUAUUAGUUUCCAAAAAAAUAUAUUUUCAAAUGAAGAGGAAACAAAUGAAAGAUGAGUUGAAUAAAUUGUGUAUCACCCACUAUCUAGAUAGACCACGUGAUAGUAAACCACAACAUCAUCCACCACUUGACUCAUUUACUCCCAAGACUAAUAGAAUCAUGCAAAUUCAAGGAUCAUAUUAUUGUUGAAGAAGUUGGCAUAGAUACUUAUAAGUUAUAACCACCAAUAAACUCAUUUCCAAACAGAAGAAGAAAACUCACAAAAUAGAAAAAGGUGUUACAUAAAUUCAUCAUGAUUCUUGAGAAUAUCACACUUUAAAUCAUCAAUUGAAUGAAUAAUAUGCCUUUUAAAAAAUUCAACCUUUUGUUGGGAGUCUUAGUCUAAUUAGUUCCCACACAAAGCAGCAAUUUUUUUAUGGAACAUAAUCAUUAAGCUAUAUUUAGCAAGAAGAUAUAUUUUGGCAAAAUGGUAGCAUCCUUAUUUAUUUACAAUCAUAAAAAUUUGAUUUAUUCAAUAUGUUGUAAUUAUCGAUGUUGCAAUUUAGGGUCAAAUGUAAAAUAGAUCAAAAGCUAUAAUAUGUGAAAGACGCAAUUUUAGAAGCAAGUACAACUGCUCAUUCAUGUAUAUAUGCUAUGGCAAAUCAAUGAACAAAGCAUCUGAAUCAUUCCUCUUUUUAUGGUAUCAGAGCACAUACAAUCCUAAGAAAAUAUACAUGGAAGCCAUGAAUGGAAAAGGAGAUCAGCCAAUGUCUUCUGUGACAAGAGAUGGGCAAACUCAGAAGAAAAAACUAUCACCAUAUGAUCUGAAUUCCAGUGUUAAUCCUGGAAACGUGAUCACACAGGUGAAAUUGAAAGACGAAAACUAUGAUGAAUGGGCUAGAGCUAUGAAGAUGUCUUUGAGAGCUAGAAGAAAAUGGGGCUUCAUUGAUGGAACCAUAGAGAAAUUCAAAGAAAGAUCCUCUAAAUUGGAAGAUUGGUGAAAUGUUCAAGCCAUGUUGGUGUCAUGGAUCUUGAACACGGUAGAACCAACUCUACGAACAACCAUGUCCUACUUGGAAACCGCCAAGGAGAUUUGGGACGACAUAGAGGAGAGAUUUUCAAUUGCGAACGAUCCACAAAUACAACAAUUAAAAUCAGAACUGGCACAAUGCAAGCAAGGGGCACUAUCCAUGGUAGCUUAUUACGGAAAACUAAAGGCACUAUGAUAUGACUUGGCAAAUCAUGAACCAAUAUUGACUUGAACUUCUAAAAGGUGCACAUGUGGUAUUCAGUUGUUGUUGAAAAACACAAAGAAUAAGAAUGAAGUCACAUAUUUCUAAUGGGUUUGGAUGAUGGGCUCUAUAGAACGGUCCGUUCCAAUUUGCUAGCCACAAGGCAUGGUUAACUCUAACUAACUAUUAUUAACAACGCAUAAUUACAUUAUUGACUGAUGAGAAAGUUCUCUUGCUUGAUGUUAAAGCAACCUUUUCUGGUUCCUAGUGCUGCAUCUUGACCGUGCCUAAGCAGCGCUAUUGGGAUGGGUCACUCGACCCUUGGCAUAACAAACUAGUCGAGCAUGCUUGGAUUGGUCUGACUAUGUAUGCAAUGGAUUCGCAUGAGCACUAGCGCAUAUUAGUGGCGCUACUAGCUCGGUCUUGACCUUUGCAAGUCACACUACUUGCCUGAAUAUCUUGGCAUAUGUUGGCCUAACCCUAACGCAUCUUAGCCAAGUCUUGGCACAUCUCCUGGCCGCAUUGGCCUGAGCCUCGUGCAUCUUGGCCAGGUCUUGGAACAUCUCUUAGCGUGCAUUGGCUUGAUGGUGCAUGUCAUGGCACAUAUUCUAGUGCAUCAUGGCCAUGUCUUGGUGCACAUUGGCAUUGGGUUUUGGCGCAUGAGAUGCUAUUAGAUUUAACAUUUUUUUAAGAUUAUUUGAGUUUGAUUUUUAGAUAGAAAACUAUAAUGGUUCAUGUAGAAAAUUUAAUAAAUAAAUAAUUAAAAAGAGAAUUGUUUGAAUUACAUUUUUGCUCUAAUGGAUAGAUAUCGAUAAUCAUAAAAUGUAUUAAAAAUAUGAAGAUAAAAAAUAUAAUGUGAAGAUAAUAAAAAUCAUACCAAACAACUUUAUAACAUAAGAUGCAUCACAAUAUAUAUUAUAUUUAUUAAAUAUUGGAGAAAGGAAAAUUAAUAUGGACGUUCACCCAUAUAAUUUCCUGGUGGAGAAUAGUUACAAAUAACAAAGACCCAAUUAUUGUCACACUUAACUCUAGCACAUCCAAGAUAAACAGAAUUACGCCACACAAUUUGAGUAUAAUGACCACACUCAUCAUUCACACAUGAAUUAGAUUCAUAAUUAUAGUUAGGCUUCUCAGUGAGCCAGAACUUUACAGCAUCUGAACCCUUCAUGUCACCAUAACCCUCAGCUAGAUUCUCACCAUAUGGCCCAUUAGAGUGCUCCAUUUGGCAGUCUUUAACUCUCCCAUUUGCAUAGUUCUGAGCAUAGGCUUCAAGGGUUUUGUUCCAUGAGAGUGGACCAACACCAACCUCUUUCCUAGCUUGGUUGUGUACCUCAAGGAAGUCUUUAGGGGAGUUUUGGGCUAGGCAAGUUGAGAUCAUGAUGAAGAAAAUGGUUGUGAUCACAAGGUAUAGGGACCUCAUUUUUGGUCUUGUUUGAGUUUUUUG